UGGGGAAUAUUAGUCAAUGGGGGAAACCCUGAACUAGCAACGCCGCGUGAAGGAAGUAGGUCUUCGGAUUGUAAACUUUUGUCUUCAGGGAAGAAAUAAAUGACGGUACCUGAGGAGGAAGCCACGGCUAACUACGUGCCAGCAGCCGCGGUAAUACGUAGGUGGCAAGCGUUGUCCGGAAUUACUGGGUGUAAAGGGUGCGUAGGCGGGUAUGUAAGUCAGGUGUGAAAUUCCGAGGCUCAACUUCGGAACUGCAUUUGAAACUACAUAUCUUGAGUGAAGGAGAGGUAAGUGGAAUUCCCAGUGUAGCGGUGAAAUGCGUAGAUAUUGGGAAGAACACCGGUGGCGAAGGCGGCCAUCUGGACGGACACUGACGCUGAGGCGCGAAAGCGUGGGGAGCAAACA
RNAcentral lists this ribosomal RNA (405 nucleotides) under uncultured bacterium. Its description in RNAcentral is "bacterial SSU rRNA". It matches the Rfam family "Bacterial small subunit ribosomal RNA", at positions 355 to 774 of the family's 1533-position model. The record is from RNAcentral.